Molecule: ribosomal RNA, 253 nt
Filed under: uncultured bacterium
Lineage: Bacteria
Description: partial 16S ribosomal RNA
Rfam family: Bacterial small subunit ribosomal RNA
Source: RNAcentral
UACAGAGGUCUCAAGCGUUGUUCGGAUUCAUUGGGCGUAAAGGGUGCGUAGGCGGCGCGGUAAGUCGGGUGUGAAAUCUCGGGGCUUAACUCCGAAACUGCAUUCGAUACUACCGUGCUUGAGGACUGGAGAGGAGGCUGGAAUUUACGGUGUAGCGGUGAAAUGCGCAGAGAUCAGGAGGAACACCCGUAGCGAAGGCGGCACUCUGGGCCGGAACUGACGCUGAGGAGCGAAAGCGUGGGGAGCAAACAGG